RNAcentral lists this ribosomal RNA (184 nucleotides) under uncultured bacterium. RNAcentral's name for it is "partial 16S ribosomal RNA". It matches the Rfam family "Bacterial small subunit ribosomal RNA", at positions 1317 to 1500 of the family's 1533-position model. The record is from RNAcentral.
UGCGUGAAGUCGGAAUCGCUAGUAAUCGCGGAUCAGCAUGCCGCGGUGAAUACGUUCCCGGGCCUUGUACACACCGCCCGUCACACCAUGAGAGUCGGGAACACCCGAAGUCCGUAGCCUAACCGCAAGGAGGGCGCGGCCGAAGGUAGGUUCGAUAAUUGGGGUGAAGUCGUAACAAGGUAAC